AGAGUUUGAUCAUGGCUCAGAUUGAACGCUGGCGGCAGGCCUAACACAUGCAAGUCGAGCGGUAGCACAGAGAGCUUGCUCUCGGGUGACGAGCGGCGGACGGGUGAGUAAUGUCUGGGAAACUGCCUGAUGGAGGGGGAUAACUACUGGAAACGGUAGCUAAUACCGCAUAACGUCGCAAGACCAAAGUGGGGGACCUUCGGGCCUCAUGCCAUCAGAUGUGCCCAGAUGGGAUUAGCUAGUAGGUGGGGUAACGGCUCACCUAGGCGACGAUCCCUAGCUGGUCUGAGAGGAUGACCAGCCACACUGGAACUGAGACACGGUCCAGACUCCUACGGGAGGCAGCAGUGGGGAAUAUUGCACAAUGGGCGCAAGCCUGAUGCAGCCAUGCCGCGUGUGUGAAGAAGGCCUUCGGGUUGUAAAGCACUUUCAGCGGGGAGGAAGGCGUUAAGGUUAAUAACCUCAUCGAUUGACGUUACCCGCAGAAGAAGCACCGGCUAACUCCGUGCCAGCAGCCGCGGUAAUACGGAGGGUGCAAGCGUUAAUCGGAAUUACUGGGCGUAAAGCGCACGCAGGCGGUCUGUCAAGUCGGAUGUGAAAUCCCCGGGCUCAACCUGGGAACUGCAUUCGAAACUGGCAGGCUAGAGUCUUGUAGAGGGGGGUAGAAUUCCAGGUGUAGCGGUGAAAUGCGUAGAGAUCUGGAGGAAUACCGGUGGCGAAGGCGGCCCCCUGGACAAAGACUGACGCUCAGGUGCGAAAGCGUGGGGAGCAAACAGGAUUAGAUACCCUGGUAGUCCACGCCGUAAACGAUGUCGAUUUGGAGGUUGUGCCCUUGAGGCGUGGCUUCCGGAGCUAACGCGUUAAAUCGACCGCCUGGGGAGUACGGCCGCAAGGUUAAAACUCAAAUGAAUUGACGGGGGCCCGCACAAGCGGUGGAGCAUGUGGUUUAAUUCGAUGCAACGCGAAGAACCUUACCUGGUCUUGACAUCCACAGAACUUUAGCAGAGAUGGAUUGGUGCCUUCGGGAACUGUGAGACAGGUGCUGCAUGGCUGUCGUCAGCUCGUGUUGUGAAAUGUUGGGUUAAGUCCCGCAACGAGCGCAACCCUUAUCCUUUGUUGCCAGCGGUCCGGCCGGGAACUCAAAGGAGACUGCCAGUGAUAAACUGGAGGAAGGUGGGGAUGACGUCAAGUCAUCAUGGCCCUUACGACCAGGGCUACACACGUGCUACAAUGGCAUAUACAAAGAGAAGCGACCUCGCGAGAGCAAGCGGACCUCAUAAAGUAUGUCGUAGUCCGGAUUGGAGUCUGCAACUCGACUCCAUGAAGUCGGAAUCGCUAGUAAUCGUAGAUCAGAAUGCUACGGUGAAUACGUUCCCGGGCCUUGUACACACCGCCCGUCACACCAUGGGAGUGGGUUGCAAAAGAAGUAGGUAGCUUAACCUUCGGGAGGGCGCUUACCACUUUGUGAUUCAUGACUGGGGUGAAGUCGUAACAAGGUAACCGUAGGGGAACCUGCGGUUGGAUCACCUCCUU
RNAcentral lists this ribosomal RNA (1533 nucleotides) under Klebsiella pneumoniae UHKPC17. Its description in RNAcentral is "bacterial SSU rRNA". It matches the Rfam family "Bacterial small subunit ribosomal RNA". Lineage: Bacteria; Pseudomonadati; Pseudomonadota; Gammaproteobacteria; Enterobacterales; Enterobacteriaceae. The record is from RNAcentral.